UGAAAAGGAGCUGUCUAAUUAGUAUAUUUUCUAUAUGCUGAGUACCUACCUAUAUAUUCGAAUGGAUGCAGCCCUUUCUCACUAUCUAUAUUUUCAAAUGAAUCUAUAAAUCAAGUUAAAACCUUAUGAAACGUCAUUUCUUAGAAUAUAUAAGAAAAGAUAUUUGUAGAUAAUUCAAUUUUGAAGGCAUAACUCAUUUCAUUUAUGAAAAGGAACUGUCUAAUUAGUAUAUUUUCUAUAUGCUGAGUACCUAUAUAUUCGAAUGGAUGAUAGAAAAAAUAUUAGUUUACCUGUGGCAGUUCAACUUGAAGCUAUAAGCUAUUCGUAAAACGUGUGAAUAACAGUGCAUUUAUUAUUUAUUUGUGAUAUUUGUUAUAUUAUAUUAAUUUCGUACCUCAAUUAUGGCGAAGCGCCCUAAUUCAGCAAGAGUGCCUAAAAAAACGUCCAGAUCAAGAUUAAUGAAGAACCUGCAGAUAGCAAGAGCAUUGGCCUUUCAAAAUAUAAAACGAAAUCCUAAUCCACUAAUGCAAUCAACAACGUCUGUAAGAAAUGAAUUUGAACAAGAUUACCCUGCAUUAGAAAUAGAGGUUGACC
Harmonia axyridis is the source of this 594-nucleotide long non-coding RNA. RefSeq lists it as uncharacterized. The transcript has 3 exons. The record is from RefSeq and is a predicted model, not a curated record. Lineage: Eukaryota; Metazoa; Arthropoda; Insecta; Coleoptera; Coccinellidae.